GGGGGUAGAGCUUAGCAGUAGAGUGCACGCUUAGCAUGCACAAGGUUCUGGGUACAAUACCCAGUACCUCUA
This 72-nucleotide transfer RNA is filed under the name Camelus ferus (Wild Bactrian camel). It matches the Rfam family "tRNA". From Rfam's summary of the family: Transfer RNA (tRNA) molecules are approximately 80 nucleotides in length. Their secondary structure includes four short double-helical elements and three loops (D, anti-codon, and T loops). Lineage: Eukaryota; Metazoa; Chordata; Mammalia; Artiodactyla; Camelidae. The record is from Rfam by way of RNAcentral.